CCAGGGACAGGUACUCCACCCAGCUCUUCUUGUCCUCGUAGUUCUUGGACUCAUCCACGAUCUUCUGAAACAUCGCUCUCUUCCUGAACCCAGGGAACAAGGGAGGUGCAGCCUCGGCCCUGGGCCUUCUCUGCCGCCCUCCCCCAGUGCUCACCCGCCCAGUGCUCACCCGCCCAGUGCUCACCCGCUGCAUCAGAACCCUGCUCUGCAGGAUACGGCCCUGCUGUCCUGCGGACGCUGCGUCCCCAGCCCCCACAGCAGAAACCGAGAGUGAGGAUACCAACCUCCUCCGCGAGCAGGAACUUCCCAAACUCCAGGUGGUGCCGCUCCAAAAUCGAGGAGCCGUGGAGCUUAGCCAAGGGGUUCUGGGACCUGUUACACAGGUGGUGGGGGUGAGGCCCGUGGGACCUGCCCUCGGCCCACCCUGCGCUCUGCAGCCUCUCCAGAUGGGCUCCACUUUCUUUCUUUCUUUUUGAGACAGGAUCUGGCUCUGUCACCCAGGCUGGAGUGCAGCGGUGCAGUCAUGGCUGGACACAGCCUAGACCUCCUGGGCUCACGUGAUCCUCCCACCUCAGCCUCCUAAGUAGCUGGGACCACAGGCGUGCGCCACCAUACACAGCUGGUUUUUUUUUUUUUAAGUUUUUGUAGAGAUCUUGCCAUGUUGCCCAGGCUGGUCUCGAACUCCUGGGCUCAAGCAAUCCGCUCGCCUUGGCCUCCCACAGUGCUGGAGUACGGGCCCUGGCCGUGGACCCCACUUUCUACAUAGCCUGCUAUGCGGAGCCUGAUUCACGCCAAGCGCGUGGCGUUGAUUUAGGGCUAAUUCACAUGCCCGCCCUGUGGUGCCUACUUCAUCUGGUACAGGUUGUUGGUGCCGCGGUGGUCGAUGUCGUGGCACAGGCCGGCUGUCACCAUGGCGAAGGCCUCCAGCCACGCACCAUGAGCAGCGUGAACAUCGUCUGGGCCACAUUGAAGCCGUGACGCCAGUUGUGGUAGGUGAUUCUCCGGUACCCUUUGCUGAUGGAGAACAGGAACCGCACCAGGACCUAGGGGAGCCGAGAGGACACAGGGCUCUGGCGGCAAAUGUGUUAAGUCCCGCCGGAGCGGCACAUGUGGCUGACUUCACCGUGGAAGCCCUGCUCCGUGCCAUCGUCCCCAUACCCUGUCUCCUGGACUCCCUGACCUUCCCCAUCCUGGCGUUUCCCACUGGCCUCCGCUGGCCUUCCUGGGUAGGGGCUGCCACACUGGCACCUAUGGGGUGGAGCCAGGCAGGGCAGGAACUGAGAACAGCCCCAGGCUUCAGGGGCCGCCCAUCCUCCAUCCGACUGCCUGGCCUCAAGCUGGGAGGAGGACCCCUGGGGAUGCGGCUUAUUUUAAGAUGUCGGUUUUAGGCAUGGACAUUUGAAUGGGCAGAAUGUGUGGGCUGCAGGCUGGGGUGGGAGAGCCGAUGUCUGCAGGGCAAGAGAAUGCUGGUCACCAGGAGGCUCUUCCUGCGGCCACUGUGAUUUUUAGGGUCAGAAAAUUAUUUGGAAAUAUUUUUUAUUCUGCAAAUAUUUUCUAUACAUUUUUCCUUGAGUGUUUUCCCUUAGUAUUUAGUAAAACUUUUUUUGGAAAUGCU
Long non-coding RNA from Symphalangus syndactylus (siamang), 1615 nucleotides. RefSeq lists it as uncharacterized. Lineage: Eukaryota; Metazoa; Chordata; Mammalia; Primates; Hylobatidae. The record is from RefSeq and is a predicted model, not a curated record.